Molecule: ribosomal RNA, 1326 nt
Filed under: Cyrestis thyodamas (common map butterfly)
Lineage: Eukaryota; Metazoa; Arthropoda; Insecta; Lepidoptera; Nymphalidae
Description: 16S ribosomal RNA
Source: RNAcentral
GGGGGAUAAAUUAAUUAAAUAUAAAUAAUAAAAAAAAUUUUAAUAUUAAUAAUAUAUGGGGUUAAAGUAUUUUUAAUAGAAAAAAUUUUUAUUUUUAUAGUAAAUUUAUACUGUAGGGGAGUUUUAAAAUAAAUGAAAAAAAAAUUAUUAAAAAGUAAAUUUGAAUUAUUGUAUCUUGUGUAUCAGAGUUUAUUAAUAAAAAUAUUAAAUAAUUAAUUCUCGAAUUUAAAAGAGCUAAUUAAUUAAUAAAUUUAAUGUUGAAAAAUUAUUUUAAAUAAUUAAUUAGAAAUGAAAUGUUAAUCGUUUUUAAAAAUAUCUAGUUUUUUCAGAAAAAAAUUUAAUUUAAAAUAAAAAUAAUUUUAUUAAUUAAUUUAAUAAUUAUAAAAAUUUUUAUUUUAAUAUUUUAGGGGAUAAGCUUUAAAAUAAAUUUUUAUAAUUUAUUAAUAUAUUAAAUUAAAAUUUAUAAAAUUUAUAUUGUUUAUAAAUUAUAAUUUUUUAUAAAAAAUUUUAUUUUAAAUAAAAUUUUAUAUAAAUUUAAAUUUUUAUGAAAAAAUAAUUUUUAAUAAUAAAAAUUUAGAUAUAAUGAUAAAAUUAGUAUAUGAUAUAAAAUAAAAAAAAUUAAUAAGAUAAUAAUUAAGUUAAAGGAAUUCGGCAAAUAUAUAUAUUCACUUGUUUACCAAAAACAUGUCUUUUUGAUAAUAAUUUAAAGUCUAAUCUGCCCACUGAUAAUAAAAUUAAAGGGCUGCAGUAUAUUGACUGUACAAAGGUAGCAUAAUCAUUAGUCUUUUAAUUGAAGACUUGUAUGAAAGAUUUGAUGAAAUAUAAACUGUCUCUAAUUUAUUUAUAAAAUUUAAUUUUUUAGUUAAAAAGCUAAAAUAAAAUUAAAAGACGAGAAGACCCUAUAGAGUUUUAUAUAUUGAUUAAUUAAGAUUAAUUAUAAAAUUAUAUAUUUAAAUUAAUUAAUAUAUUAUGUUGGGGUGAUAAAAAAAUUAAAAUAACUUUUUUUUUAAAAAAACAUAAAUAAAUGAUUAAUUGAUCCAUUAAUAAUGAUUAUAAGAGAAAAUUACCUUAGGGAUAACAGCGUAAUAUUUUUUUUUAGUACAAAUAAAAAAGAAAGUUUGCGACCUCGAUGUUGGAUUAAGAUAAAAUUUAAAUGCAAAAGUUUAAAAUUUUUGAUCUGUUCGAUCAUUAAAAUCUUACAUGAUCUGAGUUCAAACCGGUGUAAGCCAGGUUGGUUUCUAUCUUUAAUUAAUAAGUAAUAUUUUAGUACGAAAGGAUCAAAUAUUAAAAAUAAUUUUUAAAAUUGAAUAUUAAUAAAUUAAUUAA